UUGUGGCCGGACAACGGAGGGUCGUGAAUCCCGCCAGAUCCGGAAGGAAGCAACGGUAGCGAUACCUUCCGUGUGUUCGGCCAUCCUUU
RNAcentral lists this signal recognition particle RNA (89 nucleotides) under Myxococcales bacterium. RNAcentral describes it as "signal recognition particle sRNA small type". It matches the Rfam family "Bacterial small signal recognition particle RNA". From Rfam's summary of the family: The signal recognition particle (SRP) is a universally conserved ribonucleoprotein involved in the co-translational targeting of proteins to membranes. The record is from RNAcentral. Lineage: Bacteria; Pseudomonadati; Myxococcota; Myxococcia; Myxococcales.